CUGGCCCUCUCGGGGGCAUGUGCACACCCACCAUCCUCAUCUCUCCACCUGUGCACCUCUUGUAGACCUGGAUUGACUUUCCGAGGCAACUCGGUCGGGAAGAUUGCUGCGCUCUGUGAGCCAGCUUUCUUUGCAUGUCCAGGCCUAUGUUUUUCAUAUACCCCUAUAGAAUGUAACAGAAUGUAUCAUUGGGCCUUGUGCCUAUAAACCUUAUACAACUUUCAGCAACGGAUCUCUUGGCUCUCGCAUCGAUGAAGAACGCAGCGAAAUGCGAUAAGUAAUGUGAAUUGCAGAAUUCAGUGAAUCAUCGAAUCUUUGAACGCACCUUGCGCUCCUUGGUAUUCCGAGGAGCAUGCCUGUUUGAGUGUCAUUAAAUUCUCAACCUUAUUAACUUUUGUUGAUAAUGGAUUGGAUUGUGGGGGUUUCUUUUGCUGGCUUCUUCACAGAGAUCAGCUCCCCUUAAAUGCAUUAGCUGGUGCCCCGCGUGGACCAUCUAUUGGUGUGAUAAUUAUCUACGCCGUGGAUGUCUGCAAUCAUAUGGGUUUCGCACUGCUCUAACCGUCUGUUCAUUCGGACAAUACAUGACAAUUUGACCUCAAAUCAGGUAGGACUACCCGCUGAACUUAAGCAUAUCAAUAAGCGGAGGAAAAGAAACUAACAAGGAUUCCCCUAGUAACUGCGAGUGAAGCGGGAAAAGCUCAAAUUAAAAUCUGGCGGUCUCCGGCCGUCC
RNAcentral lists this ribosomal RNA (730 nucleotides) under Alnicola badia. Its description in RNAcentral is "eukaryotic LSU rRNA". The stretch from base 217 to 370 matches the Rfam family "5.8S ribosomal RNA". Lineage: Eukaryota; Fungi; Basidiomycota; Agaricomycetes; Agaricales; Hymenogastraceae. The record is from RNAcentral.